This 206-nucleotide ribosomal RNA is filed under the name uncultured bacterium. Its description in RNAcentral is "partial 16S ribosomal RNA". It matches the Rfam family "Bacterial small subunit ribosomal RNA", at positions 568 to 773 of the family's 1533-position model. The record is from RNAcentral.
AGCGUAGACGGAGUGGCAAGUCUGAUGUGAAAACCCGGGGCUCAACCCCGGGACUGCAUUGGAAACUGUCAAUCUAGAGUACCGGAGAGGUAAGCGGAAUUCCUAGUGUAGCGGUGAAAUGCGUAGAUAUUAGGAGGAACACCAGUGGCGAAGGCGGCUUACUGGACGGUAACUGACGUUGAGGCUCGAAAGCGUGGGGAGCAACA